RNA transcript from Ornithodoros turicata, 11353 nucleotides. RefSeq lists it as uncharacterized. The transcript has 3 exons. The record is from RefSeq and is a predicted model, not a curated record. NCBI's taxonomy places the organism in Eukaryota, Metazoa, Arthropoda, Arachnida, Ixodida, Argasidae.
CCACAGCGGUUACUGUUGAAAGGUAGGUAAAUUUCCAUGUCUGCCUCCAUGUUUUGUAUGUAUACAAUGUGUAACUCGGUGUCCAAGACAGCUGUAACAAAGCAGCUCGUAACCUGAAUGAUGUGUGGCAUCACAGGGACGUAUCGUUUGCGUGGGGAACCAUUUGGUUGAAGUACUUUCAGUGCUUGCUAUAUCUAUCUGCAUAACUAACACACUGCUUACUGAAAGGUGUCACACCAUUUUGCAGUGAUACAGAUAUGUGGAAAUACGAAACGUGGUACAAAGACUAUGGUAUGGUUAGGCAACAUCACAGCUUGGUGCAUUUACAAAAUUGGGAACAGCAACAGUAAAUGAUGGAAAAGUGAUGAGGACAUGGGAUGUUUCCCCCAUGGUAGCCACGGGACCCUACCCAACAAGACUGAAGUAUAUGCGUGUAUACCUGCCAACUUCUCGAUUAUGCGGGAAACUCCCGAAUUUCGUUCAGUCUCCUGAUUUUAUGGACUCACCCUCCAAUCUCCCGGAAAACUGGGGCCUCGGGCUUUUCUUCUCUCAUUUUCAUUUAAAAAAUGGGCCAACGCAUUCCUGAAGAAUUACAUAGCCUGUAACGUGUGUUUCGCGGCAUGGCCACACAUGGCUGGAGGUCACAGCAGAUAAUGUGUAUCAUUGUGUCCGUGUUUCUCGAGAAGACUGGCUAUCUAUCAUCCUCUCGUCAGUUCCUCGUACAACAACAGUUUGUCUUCUCCGAUGGCGUUCUCCAAACAGAAGAAAUAUCUGCACAUGUUCCUCAUACGUGCCAAGUGCCUUUUCACUGGUAUUCUGUAUGAGCCCAACCAGUGUGGAUCAUAGGCGACCAUGCUCUUCUGGAAGAUGUUCCCAAAAUGUCACGAAAUGAAGCGCCAUUGGUGUGGACGGACGAAGCCCACUGCCAUCAUCGGUGAAAUUGCUGCGGCAGCACAAAAUGCAAUGUUGGAGAGCCAGAGAUGACGCGUCUUUGCAAUUUCGGUUGGCGGAAGCAACGAGAGGGGGUCGCAGCCCCACCCGAUAGUGGCGAUGUAUGACGUAGAUGAAUCUCAAUACAGUGGCGUCCAAAAUUAAUGCCCCCGACCUCCUUCCGUCACGCUGUGGGCAGUCCUCCGAUCUUGAUGUUCGUCAGGUUGACAGGUAUGUGUGUGCAAAUUUGGGAAAUGUCAGCAUAGUCUAUUACACAAAGACAUCCUACUAUCUAAAUGGUGUCACUUGUGCCUCCUUUCUGCAAGUGGCACUCUCUUCUGAACAGGUCGUUCAGUAUCAGGGAGUCACAGGUGGUCCCAUUAUGCUUCAUGUAUUUAGCUAUUUCACAUGCUACAACACAAGGCCUGACAUCCAUACAGAGGCUGAGUGCCCCAAAACUGGCAGCAUUGCCCUAGUUUGCAGAGAUAUACCUCAAAAGACAACUUCAGUAAACCAACAUGUAUAACGUGUAAUGAAAGUGUUACUUCUUCUUAAUGUUUGUUCACUCAUGCAUUUGUUGCCAAUCGUAGCCAGCUUUUAUAGAUGUAGGAAAUUUUGAAGUAAAAAUGAUUAAGUCAAUAAUGUUCCACGUGGUCAUUCUGCAGGCAUGGCACACAUGAUCUUUCGUGCAACACAAAAACUAAAACAGCAAGAAUCACAUGUUGUCUUUUUCAUUAGUUCACGGUCAGCCCUGAACUGGAGCCUCGAAUUAGUUAGUGCCCGCAAAUGAAAUAUACAGUGUAUUGUCCACUUGGCUACUCCAGACUUUAUUUUGUAAUUACCUAUUGUACCUAAGUAAAGCUUACAACUUUUAUUGAUGAAAAAAGUCAGUGAUUGUUUGCUGCUUCUGCACUCGAAAACUGAACACCAUCAGCUUGUGCCCCAAAACACGAAGAUGGUGAAGAGCGUCCUCUUGGCCUUCUUCAUGGCUGAAGAAUUGGCGGGCAACAUUAAGUGCUUCCAAAACUUGUGAUGGGGAUGGCCGCACCGUCGUUUCUUCCACCUCUUCAUCGUCUUCGUUUUCUUCGUCCGGUUCUUGUCGCGCCGACACUUCUGCUACAAUGUCUUCAUCGCUGCGGACACCGCAGACUGCCGCAGCGCUAUCCGCGUCAACGUAAACGGUGAAGCGCACGCCUUGCAGUGCCUCAUGCAUGUCUGCUGGAAUAUUUUCCUCGUCGAACACGUCAUCGGUUAAUUCCUGCAGACACGCGGAAACAGUCCACGAUGGUCGAUGGCACGACUUGGUCCCGCGCAUGUGCCAGCAUGUGCAACACCGAAAGCAGAGUCACGGUGUUGCUUGGACCGCACAGAAUCAAACGCUCAAGCAUAUGACGUCUAUAAAACGUCUUCAUAUUCUUGAUCACGCCCUGAUACAUCGGCUGCAACACUGCUGUCGUAUUUGCCGGAAGGAAAGCCAGCCCGAUAGCUCUCAGCUCGACGUCCAUCUUGUGCGCCGUACAAUUGUCGACGAUGAGGAGAACCUUUCUGUUUCUCAAUUCAAGCUUCCUGUCCCACGUUUUUAGCCACUGCUUAAACAGAUCGGCAGUCAUCCGCGCUUUUUUGUGGGCAGCAUACUCCGUUGGCAGCGUUCGAAUGUUCUCAAACACCGCGGCUUUGACCACUUCCUGAUCACGAAAAGGGGAAGCUUUUCCGUCCCGGUCAUGUUUGCAGCCAGCCUUACUGCGCUUUCCACCCGUGCAGCUGUCCCCUUUAAACGCAAUCGUCCCGUCUGGCAAAAGUUUGAAAAAUAAAGCGGUUUCAUCGGCGUUAAAAAUUUCAUCCGUCGAAUAUCUCCUCAGGAACUCCUGCAGCUGUUCAUUUUUCCACAACGUGCACGUUUCCGCACUAACAUCACCACGUUCGCCGCAUACAGCCCGGAAGACAAGGUCAUGCCUCUCUCGAAAUUGGUGGAACCACCCAUCAGACGCUGCGAAGUCCUCGAUGUUCAAGCGAAGUGCAAGGUCCUCUGCCUUUGCCAUUAUGAUAGGCCCGCUCAGGGGAAUGUCCUGGCUCCUCAUCUCCUUAAUCCAUGUCAUCAAAGCAUUCUCCAUUUUGGGAUGUUUCGCAAGUCGAAGUCUUUUCCUUGCGGGGGUGAAACCCUUACCUUCAUAGGUGUCUUCGAUGGCUUUGCGGUUACGGAUGUACGUCGACAACGUGCUUUUUGGUAUGCCAUACUUCUUCACUAUGUUGCUCUUGCUUAUCCUUCCAGCGUCGACUUCGCGCAGAAUCUCCACUUUGUCUUUCAACAUUUUCGCCCCGUAUUUACCACGGGACGACGUUGGUGCCAUGGUUGCGCUCUGCACGUGGCAAAAUCAAGACACGAAACAGAGAUUCGACCGCCUCUCUUUACGUCUCCUCUCCCAGUCCUCUCCUCUCGUGGGGCGCCGCCUAUUUUUGCUCUGCGCACGUAGCGCGCGCCUUGGAGGUCGCCAGGGUUGCCAGCGGCAGCACGUGGGCGCAGCCGAGUGGUUUGAAUUAUCCAUAACCAUGUCAAUUUGAGAGCAAAUUAACGGGCUGCCCUAUACAUUGAUAUGUAUGAGAGCUUGGUGAGACCGCGAUGACUUGUUUGAAUUAUCCAGAAAUUCGAAUUAACGAGGUGUGAAUUAACAAGCUUUUACUGUACUUUAUUUACAACUGAAUGCAGAUGUCAUUUAUGGCCGUACAAAGUAAUCCGUGAGCUUUGCCUGGACCGUCCUUGUUAACAUUGGAAGCACGCAACGUUCGUAAGUCCAGAUCGCCUCCACUGCUCUUUCCUGGUUCUCUUGCGCUGUCGCGUAAUGGCGCAGUGUGUCGAUGGAUUUGAGGACAUCAGCAGCUGUAGGCGGCGGCUCUUCGUCCGGUCCAUCGCUUUCGACAGUCUCCUCGGUAGCUACGACACAACUGUCACCGUUGACGUAGUCGGAUAGUUCCACGCCCGCCGGCACUGCACCCUCCCAAUCCAUCAGAGAUUCCCAUGCCUGAAGGAGCCCAGCUUGCACAGUUUCAGUUUCUGCUGCUGUUUCCUGCUCGCAGAGGCCAAGCCCGGCCUUUCGAAAGCAGUUCGCGAUGAUCACCGCUCCCGUUGACUGCCACGCAGCUGACAGCAUCUCCACCGCCUGGGAGACUUCCACUUUUCCACUUCCACUUUGGGCAAGUUUAACCUCAGGUUUAGGAGGAGCCUGUCGAUCAGGCGACGCCGGUACGCAAACUUUACACUGUUUAUUACGCCUUGGUCCAAAGGCUGAAUCAACGAUGUGCAGUGUGCGGGAAAGAAGUGCACUUGCACAUUGCUUAGUUCCAGACCCUGAAUGUGGUGCGCCGAACAAUUGUCCACAAGCAGGCACACAUUUCUUCUCUGGUUCUUCAUGUCGUUGUUGAGCUCGUUCAGCCAUUCUACGAAAAUGCUGCGCAACAUCCGCGCUUUAGUGUUCGCCACGUACUUUACGGGGAUUCCUGCAGCAUUUUCGAACGAUUGUGGUCGUGCGCUUUUCCCGAUAACAAGCGGGACGCGCUUGUCACUGCCAUCCAUGUUAGUGCAGAGCAAAACCGUGAGACGCAGCUUGCUUUGUUUUUCACCAUGGCAGCGGUCACUCUUAAGCGCCAGAGUCUUUUUUGGUAGCAUUUGAAAAAACAGGCCUGUUUCGUCAGCAUUGUAAUGUCGGAUGCUUGCAUCCAAGCAAGCAUGCGAAGUCUCUUGCCUUUUGUUGAAGGACAGCACCGCUGACUGGCAUGUUCUUCGCGCGUAUGUCCGUGAACCACUUGAAGACAGCCUUGUCAACGUCCCUGUAGGUCGCUGCCUUCAACUUCUUGCGCUGGCCGCUGCAUGACCCGGAACGCACAGCUUUCAGAACGUCUUCCUUGGACUUGAGUAUCGUGGACAGCGUGCUUGGAGGGACGUUGAAACGAAUUGCAACAUCCUUUUUCUUUUUCCCUUUGGACACCGCAUCAAUCAUCGCGACUUUGUCAUCCAGUGUCAAAACUUUGCGUUUCUUACUUGCACUCAUGACAACACGCAACAACACAACCACCACGACACAGCACAGACGACGAAAUGUCGUGAAAUGGGUAACCUAACCAUGUGUCUUUUUCCUUUUGCUAUCGCACACCACAAUAGAAUGCCACGCCUACACCACGUGGAAACGCCAAUAACGAAUGAGAACUCACGUGAGGUCAGCGUCAAAACUCCUCCCUUCUCCUGCGCGACUGGGGAAGCGACCCGUGUGGAAGCUUUCCGUUGCCCGCGGCUUUCGUUACGUUUCGUUGCGUGCUGAUUUUCGCUGGACGUCCAACAGUGCCGUCCGAUCUUCCUGUUCUAUAUCUCUCCAGGAACCUCUCCUGCAGUUGCCAAAUUCAUCAGGGGUGUCCUCUUCUUCAGCAACCUCUGAUUCAAGAGGUAGUUGUGGAGGACACAGGAGGCAAGGACAACAUUCUCCACAUUUUCUGGAGACAGGUUGAUGACUCUCAGAAAAAUUCGCCAGCGGUUGGCCAGGAUGCCGAAGGCAUUUUCAGAACAUCGCCUAUAGCAUAAUAAAUAAUAACACGUCUGUGAACAUUUUAAAUGGAAAAUUCUGGGUGUUUUACAUUGCAUGGGACAGUCUAUAGUUGAAGAUUGUCUCGUCAGGUGGCAGCAUCUUGCCAGGAUAGGGAUGCAAGAAGUCUUGUCGGAGCUGAAAAGCCUCAUCUAUCAGUACAUGAGGAAAACAUCAUCAGAGUUUGGCAGCCUUGCAAUUCCGGGCAUUUGCAAUGUGCCAGACAGGAGCCUUCUUCCAAUGGCUGACUCCUUAAACACUGCACUAUCUGCAGCUCUUCCUGGUGUUCCCACAUAAAUCAUCCUGAAGUGGUACUUGCUGUCAACCACAGCCAUCAGCACGAUUGAACAUGUUCCAUGAAGGAAUCGCAUUUAGUACCGCAGUGCAGCCUACAUGUACAUUAAUAACCUUCACAUUGUCUUGCCUUGUAGUUGUAAAACAUGCUGCCAGACUUUUUGGGAGCACCGAUUUGGACAUGCUUUCCGUCCACUGCACCCAAACAGUCAGGGAAAUUCCAGCUUUGUGCAUACUCGAGGGCAAUCUUCUCCCACUUAGAUUUGGUGGGUGGCUGCAUCAUGAAGAGUUUGGAUUAAAACUUAGAACAAUAACAAAGUUUGGCUGCUAUGCAAUGUUGACGUUACCUUCAUCAUGAGUGGUUGUAGUCUACUCCACGACACUUUGCAUGUUACGUGGAUGGCCUCCCUUGCGGUCUCCAGCCCCACUAGGUAGGCAAGUGCGACGUCCUUAAUCUGCACCCCAGAUGAAAGGAACCUGACAUUUGAUCAUGUGUUUCUUGUUAUACCAGUAUUGUGGUUUCAUUAUCUUUAUCUCAGUGCAACACAUGCCAGGCACAUGUCAGAAUAUACUGAAGGAAGUGUUGAGUUUACCGGAUCGUCAAAGCAAGCCUUUCUUCCAAGGAGAUGGGCACCCUCACAGCAUGCUCUUUGGAUAGAGCACUUUGAACCAGGCGAUGUAGUUCAUCAAACGUGCUCGAGAGCAUCCUGUAAAACUUCUGGAACAUCUGUCGUCACCACAUUUCCGCAUGGUAUCCAUUUGCAAAUCAUUAGAAAGCCUACUAUGUGAGUAAGCAGUAAUAAUAAGCAAAGCCAGUACAUAAAAUUUGAGUAAGCUAGUAAUCAUGUGAAAAACAAAAAGAAAUGAUGGGCAUAGUUGCUAACAUUGGCUAUUAAGAUUUUACCGAAGAUAAUUUUCAGAGAUGUAGUGUAUUAGAUAUACAUAAACUGUAUGAUAUAAAAAUAGGCUGUCUAUUUGAAAAUUAGGUAAGGUUCCUCAUCAUAUUCACUCAGAGCACAGAGACUUUUCACGUAGCACACAGAAACACGCUCCAUGCGGGUCGGCCUUUGAUGCUUCGUUUUCAGCAAAAUUAUUAUUCCGUAUGUGUGGCGUCAAGACAGGAGGCAUAGAUUCCCGAAGCUGAUCAAACAUUUAUGGUGAUUUCUGUGCAUGACUUUUUGUAAUGUCACCGAAAGUUAGUGACUUGCCAGGAAUUGUGCGAACGAAUCGUGUGAGUCAUGACGGCGGGUUCCCCGUGCAGGAUAACUGUAUGUGCCUGCAGUCAGCUGCAGUCCACUUGGACGACCUCUCUUUUUUUCUACAGGCUUGUUCGAGGCAAUCAGGCCGAGGGCAGCAUCAACCUGGAAGUUCAUCAUGUCUCUUACUUCCUUCUUGGGAAGACCCUCGGCACUGGCAUCCCUCAGGUAUUCCAACCAUGAAUUUGCCAUUGCUAAGGAUGCAAAAUGGGAUAUCAUCCUCACCGGCCACUUCUUCGUCUUUGUGCGCAAGGGAUACAGUGACAUGACAAAGUCUAGUUUGUCGACACCCCACAUGAACUUGUUGUAGUCCUGAAUGGCCUGUAUGCUGACAUGCUCCUUUUUUGCUUCGCUCCUCUCCGCACUUCACUGACAGGAUGGACUCCUACAAGGCUGGAUGCCAUGUUGACAAUGCCAUUAUCCCUCCAGCGCACAAUCACAAUGUCGCCCUCUUUCGACACCCUGCUGUCUAGGGUCCCACAUCGCUCUUUCUUCAUUUCUUUUUCAGGCUUCAGUUUGCAUCCUUGCAGCCGAUUACUUCGUAUGGUUCCCAUUGCUAGGAUGCCCACAUGCUUGAGCUCUCUCAAGAGAGGUACUGAUGGUGAAGUAGUUGUCAAAAAACACUCUGGAGUCAGUGUUUUGGAAGGUGCUGUACUAAACGCAUGACAGCAGAGCCACCAAGGCCAAGAUGAGCAUAGCCUGGGUCCACACCAGUCCCUUUGCCCUGAUACAUUUGAAAGUCAUGGGCCAUUCCGUCCGAGCUGCACCUCACAAAAACUUUGGCCCCAACGGGAUCGGCUUUGACUUGAUCACCUGCUUUGCCACUAUACGUCCUGUAAACGCCAGUAGUUGUUCAUCGAUGCCGCUUUCAUGCAACACACCCAUGCCUAGGCAUCGUUGACGUACCGCCUCAAGCAGGGGGCGAACCUUCCAAAAUUGUCCGUGCUUGAACGGUCCCGUUGUGCAUUUGAGUCCAUUAUGAGCAAUGUGUUCCGUAUCUUGAAAAACCUGUUGAUUGAAACAUCCACAAUUGCUGCAAUUCUUGUUGCCACUUUCCAAUACAUUCGUACUCGGGGAAAUUUCAGGACUCCCAUGUAUCAUCAAUCAUGUACAUCAUGUACAUCAAUAUUCCAAAAAACACCUUGAUUUCUUCAGGUGUGCAUGAGAGCUCCUCACCAUUUUUCUGGAGACUGUACAGAUUUAUGUACGUUGCGAACUCACUGAAAGUUUGGUCUGUGAAAUACUGUGUGAAGUAGCUCAAUGGCUCCUCUGGCACAGAGGUAGUUGGAGGGGAUAGUGGCAGUAAGUGCCCACAGGUUGGAACUCCUUCCGUGUCCACGUCACAGACGCUUUGGUUUUUUCCGGCUGUAAACAAGGUGGUUCCACAUCCUCAACUUCUUGGUCAUCAGUUGGUGCACUUGGCUACUGGUCAUCAGCGUUACCCUGUGAAUGUUCCCUUAGUUAGCAACGGAUUCAGCAGCAAAACGUAAUGCGCCUACAGCAACUGUGAUGUCUGUUUCAUCCUGCUCGUCAUCGGAAAGGUUGUCGUCUGUCACGUCACCUGCAGCAAUGCUUUCGAGAAUACUUUCUGCUGUAUCAUGCAGAACGUCUCUUGGACAUAGUCCACAAUGUGCUUAUAGGCCUAAAAAUAAAAAUAAUUGUCACUGUAAAAGCAGUAGGAUGAAACUGGCACUUUGACAUGCGAGCGCAGGACAGAUGGAGCCGAUCACAAUGUGUACGAAUGGACACGCAACAGAUAUGCGUGAAAGUGACAGUAAAACAACUGUGAAACUUUAAUAAUACUGCACUAGAAAUGUGAACGGAGGCUUUAUGUAUCUAAAACUGUGCAGAGAAUUCUCAAGCGGCACGUGAAAAUUCAUAGAAGAACAACAGAAAAGGCACACUUAUGCGGCGUGCCAUAGAAGGUGGAGGCAUCCAUCUUACAUUCGAAGUUCCGAUGGCAGCUCGCAAAGAAGAUAUCAGAUGACGCACGCAACUUUCUCUUCGGUGUCUACGCUUGUGGACAGCAUGACUCAAACGUGCCAAACAGUUUUUCCGGGCUCGAAAACUAAACCGAAACUUCCCGUGCACAAACGUGCACACCAUGCCUCAAGGGGUUGUUGUUAUUAUUAUUAUUUAUUCCACUCUUGUAGGCCAUUACCUGAGGGAGUGAGUACGCACUGCAUUCCAAACAUCAACAUUAACCAGGAGAAGAACAAACAAACAAUACAGUAACAGCAAUGAUGUGGCACAAGAUGUGUCUAGUAGUGGAGACAGCCAAUAUGCUAAAGUAAAGGAAAAUGGUUUAUGGAUGUGUACAGGGAGGACAAUGGUCAAGUGAAUAUAGCUAUUAAUGCGUUCACAAGCCGGUUGUGGUCCGUAGGUUCUGCAAUAGGAUGUUGGAGGUUAUUCCAAUCUGAUGUCCUUCUGCCUCAAAUGAUGUGGAAUGUGAGCGAGCUAGGGGUGCCUUAUGCUGGUGGUCAUCGCGUCGGGAGGGAUAGGACGAUCUGUGAACUUAACUGCUGUGGAGCACAGGGGAGUGGUAGAAUUUGUGGAAUAAUGAUAACCGUUGAAUCACGCGGCGUGUGAUCAGGUCGGUGGGCUCGGCUUGGUUCUUGAGUGAAGUCACACUUGUGUGAGGUGAACAGUCUUUAAAAAUAAAUCAAGCAGCGUGAUUCUGCAGAGCUUCAACAUUGUUCGAGAGAUAAGCAUGGCAGGGGCUCCAUAUGGUGCUAGCAUAUUUGAGCUUGAGGCGGAUGAGGGUGAGAUAAGCCAGCCGCUUUAAGUGUGAAUGUGUGUGAGCAAUGUGUUGUCGUAGAUACCAGAGAUUAUGAUUUGCGUUAGAGGGUAUGUGCAAAAUGUGUGUGUUCCAUGCAGGGCAGGGCAGGAAUACUCAAAAUUUGUAUUAUAAUACAAAUACAUAAUACUUGCUAAAAAAUGGUAUUAUAAUACUAAUACAUAAUACAUUUUAUUUUCAAGUAUUAUAAUACAUAAUACUAUUACCUCCCUAUAUUACUCAAGUAAUACUAGUAAUACUUUUGUGCCGUGGCAGACAGUUAUUAGAAAAGGAAUCCCAGACAUAUUUCUGAAGCCACCGGUCUGGUCAACGCAUGUUUAUUUCAGUUGACUGCACUUAAGAAGAAACAUCUUUUCAAAUACACCAUCUUCUAACGAUCGUCUGUUUGGUCUGAGUAGCAGAUUCGCAAACGAAAACAAUCGUUCAACUGGCACAGACGAACAUAAAUUAGUGUUGAACUUUAAGAAAGCACUCUUAACUGAUGGGUAGUCGUCCAACAUGGACAAGUCUACGCGCUUGUCAUCGAGGUACUUGAGGACUUCCAACUUCGCACGGCACAGUGCACAGCUCUCAGGGCAUUCUCUCACGGGACGCAGGUGUGUGUGUCUAUAAUUCCCUUUUUUCUGCCUUAUUUUUUGACGCACCGACCCUGGCUCCAUUCUAUGACAUGACCCUCUAAGGGCUCCGGGUUGUUCACCCAGAGUGGAGAAGUUUCCCAGAAAUUUGAGUCAGCCAGCUCCUGUAAUCGUCCCUUUGUUGCACGUUGAAGUGUGAUCCUCUGUUGGUAGAACUAGGUCGUGUUCGUAGGACUGGAAUGGUACCGAAAGCAUACACGUGUAAGACCCAUCACCUCAGGCAGGACAUGUCAUAAGUAUUACGAGUUUUGCAGUAAUACAAUGCAAGUAAUACUCGAAUUUUUUGUAUUAUAAUACGUAAUACAAAUACUCUAAAGUAUUACAGUAACGGUAUUACAAUACAAUGUAUUUGUAAUACUGCCCCAGCCCUGGUUCCAUGUUAGGUCAAAUAAACUGCUUAACAGGAACAUCUCUCGAUGAGGAUCUCUCGUGCCUGUCUGCCAGUCAUGGAGUCCUGUACGGCAUCCACAGGAGGCAGGUGCGCAGGCUGCUUAGUCCUCUGAGUCCAGCAGCUGCGUCUCUGGAGGAGUGCUGUCGAGCUGGGAGUUGCUGUUGGGUCUGGCUCCUUCCUCAGGCAUCCCAGAUUAUGUAAAGCAGCACAAGCUGUAAUGACGCGUGUGGCACAGCGAGGCUUGUGCUGCAGCCGCAUGUCGAGGCGGGCCACAGUGAGUCAUUGGAGGCAGUGCUGCAGCACCAACGAUCACUCAUUGGCAGAAAGGAAUGAGGUGGCCAUCAACACCCUGCUGCCAGUUCAACACUCCUCAGUCAAAACACAAGACGCCUGCUUGGCAGCAAAGUCAAUCCAGUUUUAGACUGAGUUUUGUACCGUAGACUUCGUGCGUGGUUUACUGUGAAUAAAUGUUCAUGCUGAGA